GAAAUCAGGGAUGGAUCUUAAUUGGUGGGACUGUUCCCAGGGCCUGUGAGAGACUGGGUUUCAGCCCAGAGCCCAACACAGCGCCGGAAGACAAAGUAUCAGACGCAGCUAACUGGUCUAUGGGGCCUCUGCUGCAGGAUCGAAGGAGAGCGUGUGUGUGCAGUCUCACUCAGUGUCGGGAGCACCUGGCUGCCUCCCUGAUGCGAUCUCAGACCUGGCGAAAGGACCUGGCCUCUGCUCAGAAAGGUCUUUUCUCCUUGUGAACAGAGACAUCAGAAGUUCAUUACAUCUCUGACAGGGCAGUGGUUUUCAAAGUGUGGUCCCCGGACCAAUAGCAUGAACAUCAUCUUGGAACUUGUCAGAAAUGGAAGUUCCCAGGCCCCAUGCCAAACCUACUGAAUUGGAAACACUAGGAGUGGGACACAGCUAUCUGACCAAGACUUCCAGGCCAGUGACGUGUAAAUGGCAAACACCGCUUCUGCUUAUAUCCAGUUGAUGACCAAGUUGUCAUAGCCACACCCAGCCACAAAGUCAGCUGCCAACUGUAGCCUCUAGCAAGUGUCCAUUGCACAGGAAGAAGGGAAGAACUGAUUUUGAAGGCACAACUGACCAUAAUCCCGCUAAAGGAAACAGGACAUCCUAAGACGGCUGCUGAAAUCACUACCCUUGCUGAUGGAAACUCACACCUCCGAGCCUUUGGCAAGGGCUUUAAUAAAAUCUCCUUUUAGAAAUGA
Molecule: non-coding RNA, 734 nt
Organism: Macaca mulatta (Rhesus monkey)
Lineage: Eukaryota; Metazoa; Chordata; Mammalia; Primates; Cercopithecidae
Source: RefSeq, a predicted model, not a curated record